This 1422-nucleotide long non-coding RNA is filed under the name Salmo salar (Atlantic salmon). RNAcentral describes it as "lncRNA (ENSSSAG00000120096.1)". The record is from RNAcentral. Lineage: Eukaryota; Metazoa; Chordata; Actinopteri; Salmoniformes; Salmonidae.
GGAAGAAUGCAGUUUUAAGGUUUAUUAUUAAUAACUGACACAAUUCUAUAAUUAAUACAUAUUAGAAUAAUAAUACAUAAUAGUGACCAAUAGUUACUGUAUUGUGAUUGUUUAGUGUUUUAAUUACUCAACAAGUAGUGCCCCAAGGUGGGAUCGAACCGUAUCUCAAAAGCAGUAGAAUAGGUCAAAUAAGGUCACCAUAACUUCCGUUACGGCUGUACAAGGCUGGCCGCUACCGACUGGGACUAUCUCCUCUAAAGUAUCUCCAAAGAGGAAGAGGCAAAAUGAGAGGGAUAACAGGGACCAAAAUCUGUGUUCUCCAGCAGGUGGUGUUAAAAAAAAAAAUGUUUUACUCACCAAGCCAGAAGUUUUUGUAUAGAGGUCAAUGCGUGUUGAAUUUGGUUAAGCAAAAAUAUGACUUAUUUGGUACGUGUGGCUUAUUUGAUCGAACAGAAGUUUCGUAAUUCUUAGGUUGUUAUGAAUGUAGCUACUGAUAAGUAGGACACGUGACAUCCAUGCAACUCUGAGAAAAAACACUAUAUUGGAGUUGUGCCUGUUAUCACACUCCUAUCUGCCCUCUCAUUGGCUUGAAUGAUCCCACAGAUUAUAUUGACCAGAGACAGGUAGAAACAAUAAAUCAGGUAGACAGGGAGAAAUUGUAAAUCCAACCUGCCAGCCCAGUUUCUCUUAAAAGAUAAAACAUUUGCCUCCAUCAAAUUAUGUUAUUCUACUCAGUAUUCUCUUUAAAGUCAAUUCCUGUAUCACCUUCUCCCUCAUACUCAAUCUGUCUCUUUCCCUCUCAUACUGCACACACUAUCAGUACAUGCUCCACUGUCAAUGUUUCCAGGAAGUAAUCACACCUUCCUGUUGGAUGCUUAAUGUCCUAUUCAACCGGCUGUGUAAAGUAAAGGAUGAAGAAAAGUUCAGGCUCCACUUUGCAUUUCAGAAAAACUGCGUAAGAAAUUCAAAUGAAUCGUGAACUGACAAAAGUGUUCUAUGACUGACAAAACAUCCCAACCGCACUACUUUUGGCUAGGGCACAUAAUGCUCUGGUCAAAGGUAGGGCAUUAUAUAGGGAACAGGGUGGCACUUGGGACGUACAGUUGUGGAAAAAGGUUUUGAGAAUGACACAAAUAUUAAUUUUCACAAGUCUGCUGCCUCAGUUUGUAUGAUGGCAAUUUGCAUAUACUCCAGAAUGUUAUGCAGAGUGAUCAGAUGAAUUGCAAUUAAUUGCAAAGUCCCUCUUUGCCAUGCAAAUGAACUGAAUCCCCCAAAAACAUUUCAGCCCUGUCACAAAAGGACCAGCUGACAUGUCAGUGAUUCUCUCGUUAACACAGGUGUGAGUGUUGACAAGGACAAGGCUGGAGAUCACUCUGUCAUGCUGAUUGAGUUCGAAUAACAGACUGGAAGCUUCAAAAGGAG